Molecule: long non-coding RNA, 753 nt
Filed under: Brassica napus (rape)
Lineage: Eukaryota; Viridiplantae; Streptophyta; Magnoliopsida; Brassicales; Brassicaceae
Description: long non-coding RNA (BNAP_LNC022501)
Source: RNAcentral
UAAGUUAUCAAUUUACAUCACGUGGCGGCUUAAGAAUCGAUUGAAAAAUUUGUAAGUCCAAAAUUGAUUGAAUAAUUCCCUAGAGACAUUAUGUCCGUUAACAUAUACGACCAUCAUAUAUUAUAAUGUUCACAAAAUUUUUAACCGGUUAAUUUAUUAUGUUAUGAACCAAAUGUUAGAUUGAUGAAUUUAAUGCUUCUUCUUCCAAUGGCCAAAUUAAGUCUCUUCCUUUCAUGUCUAUCUUUUUCUUCUCUUUAUUCUGUUUUCUCUAUCUUUUCCCCCCUCAAACGGUUCUCCUUUUUUUCUCAUUGAUUUAAUUUUCUAAUAGUUUUUGUGUUGUUUAGAUUCAUAAGUAUAGAAAGAAAGCCCUCAUCUCCUCUUCUCCGGUGGUGCAAGCUUGAACCAGUCUUUUCUUCACUGGUCUCAACAUCGUCUCCCGGCUCAAGCUCGCCAGCUCUGCUCAAGUCCAAAAGCUCACCUCAUCUCAAGCUCUAGAAAUUCACCAUACAUCACCUCCUCUGAAGCUUCGGAACCUCGCCUCGGCUCACCGGCGGUGAUGGUUAGUUACAUGAAUGAUGUUGCCAAACCAUGACAGAGAAGAGACUGUGUGCGUGGCGAAUAAGAUUUUCUUUUUAUUAGGUUUAGUUUUUUUUUAAUUUGGUUUAGUUUAGUAAACCAAUUACAAUUGGUAAACCGAUCAAUUUAUAAAAUGAUUUUAAUCUGUAAAGCAAUGAUUUUGCAGACCGAUUUUAC